Molecule: ribosomal RNA, 329 nt
Filed under: uncultured bacterium
Lineage: Bacteria
Description: bacterial SSU rRNA
Rfam family: Bacterial small subunit ribosomal RNA
Source: RNAcentral
UGUGUAGGCGGUUUCUAAGUUCGGUGUGAAAUCUCCCGGCUUAACUGGGAGGGUGCGCCGGAAACUGGAAGGCUUGAGUAUGGGAGAGGAAGGCGGAAUUCCUGGUGUAGCGGUGAAAUGCGUAGAUAUCAGGAGGAACACCUGCGGUGUAGACAGCUUUCUGGACCAUCACUGACGCUGAGACACGAAAGCGUGGGUAGCAAACAGGAUUAGAUACCCUGGUAGUCCACGCCCUAAACGAUGCAUACUUGGUGUGAGCCGUUCAGUCGGUUCGUGCCGGAGCUAACGCGUUAAGUAUGCCGCCUGGGGAGUACGGUCGCAAGGCUGAA